Long non-coding RNA from Choloepus didactylus (southern two-toed sloth), 337 nucleotides. RefSeq lists it as uncharacterized. The record is from RefSeq and is a predicted model, not a curated record. NCBI's taxonomy places the organism in Eukaryota, Metazoa, Chordata, Mammalia, Pilosa, Megalonychidae. The transcript is spliced from 3 exons.
GUUUAGAGAGGUUAAGAACUUGCCCAUGUCACAUAAAUGGUUUUGGUGAAAGCAUGGGCCCUUGGAGCUCCCAACUUCACCAUGUUUGCAGAAUUAUAAUGAAAAGGUAGAUGUCAUCCCUGCAUUUAGCCCCAGUUAGGCCACAUCUGCUCUAUCUUGGAAGCCCCACAUGCCGGCGGCUAGCUGGAGGUGAGCAAGCCUGUGGAGGGUCAGACACUGAUGGUAUGCAGCCUGGAAUCAAGGAGAUCUUAGCAGGACUCUGCAUCUGUGGACUGAUUCAGAACUGGGGAUUUGGUGAGGUGACUCUGAAGCAUGCUGGAUCAAGUCAAGCUUCUGC